GGCGGCGGGAGUUUAGGCGACUUCCGAGGGGGCUGGGAGGUUCAGGUCGAGAUCGAGCCGUACGUUGCGGGAGCUACGCUCGAAGUCGACGACCGAGGACGUGGAGGAGUCGCUGUGGGCCGAGCCGGAUAUGGGAGCGGGGCGGUCGAACCUGCAAGUUUCGCGGGCGAGCUGGAGGGCGGCGGCGCCGUCGGCCCGUGCGAAGGCGUCGAAGAAGAACACGGGACGGGGCACGGGGAGCGGGCGGAAGCCGCUCGCAGCGGUGAAGUAGCCGCCGCCGGUGGAGAAACGGGGGUUUUUGAGAGUGAGGUCGAGUGGCGGCGGAGGCGGCGGCGAGGAGGACUCCACGGUGCUGCUCUGGCUGCUGGGACUGUUGCUGACGUUCGUCGCCGCCGCUGAUUUGGCGGCGUUGUUCAUGUUGACGAUGUUGACGGCGUCGAGCUGGAGCUCAGA
RNAcentral lists this long non-coding RNA (453 nucleotides) under Malus domestica (apple). RNAcentral's name for it is "long non-coding RNA (MDOM_LNC003361)". The record is from RNAcentral. Lineage: Eukaryota; Viridiplantae; Streptophyta; Magnoliopsida; Rosales; Rosaceae.